UACGUAGGGGCCUAGCGUUGUCCGGAUUUAUUGGGCGUAAAGAGCUCGUAGGCGGUUCGGUAAGUCAGGUGUGAAAUCUCCACGCUCAACGUGGAGGCGCCAACUGAAACUGCCGUGACUCGAGUCCGGUAGGGGAGUGUGGAAUUCCCGGUGUAGCGGUGAAAUGCGCAGAUAUCGGGAGGAACACCAAUGGCGAAGGCAGCACUCUGGGCCGGUACUGACGCUGAGGAGCGAAAGCGUGGGGAGCGAACAGG
RNAcentral lists this ribosomal RNA (254 nucleotides) under uncultured bacterium. RNAcentral describes it as "partial 16S ribosomal RNA". It matches the Rfam family "Bacterial small subunit ribosomal RNA", at positions 524 to 776 of the family's 1533-position model. The record is from RNAcentral.